RNAcentral lists this ribosomal RNA (253 nucleotides) under uncultured bacterium. RNAcentral's name for it is "partial 16S ribosomal RNA". It matches the Rfam family "Bacterial small subunit ribosomal RNA", at positions 524 to 776 of the family's 1533-position model. The record is from RNAcentral.
UACAGAGGGGGCAAGCGUUAUUCGGAAUUAUUGGGCGUAAAGGGUGCGUAGGCGGGUCUUUAAGUCAGGGGUGAAAUCCUGGAGCUCAACUCCAGAACUGCCUUUGAUACUGAGGGUCUUGAGUUCGGGAGAGGUGAGUGGAACUGCGAGUGUAGAGGUGAAAUUCGUAGAUAUUCGCAAGAACACCAGUGGCGAAGGCGGCUCACUGGCCCGAUACUGACGCUGAGGCACGAAAGCGUGGGGAGCAAACAGG